CCUACGGGUGGCUGCAGUGGGGAAUAUUGGACAAUGGGCGAAAGCCUGAUCCAGCAAUGCCGCGUGAGUGAAGAAGGCCUUCGGGUUGUAAAGCUCUUUUACCCGGGAUGAUAAUGACCGUACCGGGAGAAUAAGCCCCGGCUAACUCCGUGCCAGCAGCCGCGGUAAUACGGAGGGGGCUAGCGUUGUUCGGAAUCACUGGGCGUAAAGCGUGCGUAGGCGGCCAUUCAAGUCAGAGGUGAAAGCCCAGGGCUCAACCUUGGAACUGCCUUUGA
This 275-nucleotide ribosomal RNA is filed under the name uncultured Sandarakinorhabdus sp. RNAcentral's name for it is "partial 16S ribosomal RNA". It matches the Rfam family "Bacterial small subunit ribosomal RNA", at positions 338 to 630 of the family's 1533-position model. The record is from RNAcentral. Lineage: Bacteria; Pseudomonadati; Pseudomonadota; Alphaproteobacteria; Sphingomonadales; Sphingosinicellaceae.